This 605-nucleotide ribosomal RNA is filed under the name uncultured Bacteroidota bacterium. RNAcentral's name for it is "bacterial SSU rRNA". It matches the Rfam family "Bacterial small subunit ribosomal RNA", at positions 315 to 916 of the family's 1533-position model. Lineage: Bacteria; Pseudomonadati; Bacteroidota. The record is from RNAcentral.
CGUACUGAGACACGGACCAGACUCCUACGGGAGGCAGCAGUGAGGAAUAUUGGACAAUGGGAGCAAUCCUGAUCCAGCCAUGCCGCGUGCAGGAAGACUGCCCUAUGGGUUGUAAACUGCUUUUAUACAGGAAGAAAAAGCCCGACGUGUCGGGUGUUGACGGUACUGUAAGAAUAAGGAUCGGCUAACUCCGUGCCAGCAGCCGUGGUAAUACGGAGGAUCCAAGCGUUAUCCGGAAUCAUUGGGUUUAAAGGGUCCGUAGGCGGGACAAUAAGUCAGUGGUGAAAGUCUGCAGCUCAACUGUAGAAUUGCCAUUGAUACUGUUGUUCUUGAGUGCUUGUGAAGUGGUUAGAAUGAGUAGUGUAGCGGUGAAAUGCAUAGAUAUUACUCAGAAUACCGAUUGCGAAGGCAGAUCACUAACAAUUCACUGACGCUGAUGGACGAAAGCAUAGGUAGCGAACAGGAUUAGAUACCCUGGUAGUCUACGCCGUAAACGAUGGUUACUAGCUGUUCGGACCAAUUGAGGUCUGAGUGGCUAAGCGAAAGUGAUAAGUAACCCACCUGGGGAGUACGUUCGCAAGAAUGAAACUCAAAGGAAUUGACGG